GAUGAACGCUGGCGGCGUGCCUAAUACAUGCAAGUCGAGCGAACAGAUGAGGAGCUUGCUCCUCUGACGUUAGCGGCGGACGGGUGAGUAACACGUGGAUAACCUACCUAUAAGACUGGGAUAACUUCGGGAAACCGGAGCUAAUACCGGAUAAUAUAUUGAACCGCAUGGUUCAAUAGUGAAAGACGGUUUUGCUGUCACUUAUAGAUUGAUCCGCGCCGCAUUAGCUAGUUGGUAAGGUAACGGCUUACCAAGGCAACGAUGCGUAGCCGACCUGAGAGGGUGAUCGGCCACACUGGAACUGAGACACGGUCCAGACUCCUACGGGAGGCAGCAGUAGGGAAUCUUCCGCAAUGGGCGAAAGCUUGACGGAGCAACGCCGCGUGAGUGAUGAAGGUCUUCGGAUCGUAAAACUCUGUUAUUAGGGAAGAACAAAUGUGUAAGUAACUAUGCACGUCUUGACGGUACCUAAUCAGAAAGCCACGGCUAACUACGUG
This 497-nucleotide ribosomal RNA is filed under the name uncultured bacterium. Its description in RNAcentral is "partial 16S ribosomal RNA". It matches the Rfam family "Bacterial small subunit ribosomal RNA", at positions 28 to 507 of the family's 1533-position model. The record is from RNAcentral.